Molecule: ribosomal RNA, 500 nt
Filed under: uncultured bacterium
Lineage: Bacteria
Description: partial 16S ribosomal RNA
Rfam family: Bacterial small subunit ribosomal RNA
Source: RNAcentral
AUUGAACGCUGGCGGAAUGCUUUACACAUGCAAGUCGAACGGCAGCACGGACUUCGGUCUGGUGGCGAGUGGCGAACGGGUGAGUAAUGUAUCGGAACGUGCCCAGUCGUGGGGGAUAACGUAGUGAAAAUUACGCUAAUACCGCAUACGAUCUAUGGAUGAAAGCGGGGGAUCGCAAGACCUCGCGCGAUGGGAGCGGCCGAUAUCAGAUUAGAUAGUUGGUGGGGUAAAGGCCCACCAAGCCAACGAUCUGUAGCUGGUCUGAGAGGACGACCAGCCACACUGGAACUGAGACACGGUCCAGACUCCUACGGGAGGCAGCAGUGGGGAAUUUUGGACAAUGGGCGAAAGCCUGAUCCAGCCAUUCCGCGUGCAGAAUGAAGGCCCUCGGGUUGUAAACUGCUUUUGUACAGAACGAAAAGGUUUCUACUAAUACUAGGAGCUCAUGACGGUACUGUAAGAAUAAGCACCGGCUAACUACGUGCCAGCCGCCGCCGUAA